GCCCGCCCCCACUCCCACUCCCACCGGCUCGGUUACACUGUCAUAAAAAGACCGGGAAAGGGGGGCGGUGUCACACACGGCCUCCAAAUGUGGACAUGUUGCCCUGCUCGUUCUCUACGGGCUCUUUUCAAACGCUUCCAUCUUCUCAUAAGUGCUUCUUGGAUCGCCAUAUCGACUUCAUAUCACGCAUGGCGCCACCUAUACUAAAAGUGUCCACUAGAGGGCAGAGGGCGACAAAACGGCUUCACUUCGACUUCCGGUUCGAACGUCAAUAAUCACUGCUAUAUCGAAUAUCGCUCCCUCAAGAUAUCCGCUUUUCAAAGAAUUAUUAUUUUAUAACUGUUAAUUAUUUCGUGGCUGAUUAUGUCAUAAAUUCAUAAAGUCAAAAAUAUUGAAAGCCAAGUUAUAUUUAGUACUGUGGUUACUAGGCAUCAGCAAUGCUACAUUAUAUUUCUACCUUUCUGCAUGGAGACUAUUGAGCUGGUGAAAUCGAGUGAAAAAAAGGUUCUCCUCUCGUCCUGUCUGGGGAGUCAAAGGCCUGCUGAGUCACAAAGGUUCGCUUCAGCCUGAGGGAAAGAGCAUCCGCCAAACGUCGAUGCGAGCGCACCCGUCAAAGAUAAGAUUGUUUUUCUGAGUGAAUUUGCAAUGAUUUGAUGCGUGUGCGUGCAUGUGUGUUGUGUGUGUGUGUGUGCGCGCGUGCAGCAGGUGCGGCCUCAGCCUCGCCAGCUCCCGACCCCACCCACCUGUCCGGGGAAUUGCCCAGCUGCCGUCGCUUAGCAACGCCUCGUCCGUCUCCACGCCGACUCGCACGGAUGUUGUUGUUGCUGACGCUGAAGAAGAACACAAUUGUUGCAUUUUUUUUUUUUUACAGCUUUUAAAUGCUGCGUUCGGGGCUUCAUUUUGGGUGUCGAUGGGAUCCUGCUUGGGGCACAGACCAGGACUAAAGUCUCAUUCGGAGUUUAAUUAGUAAAAAAAAAAAAAGUAUAAGAAUGUUUUAUAGUGGAUGGAAAGAAAAAUAAUAAAGGACGUUAUUGUCUUUUAUGACAGACCAAACUCAAUUAAAAAAAUAAGUUAAUAUGAGGGUUCAAUUCCACCCUCGGCCAUCUCUGUGUGGAGUUUGCAUGUUCUCUCCGUGCAUGCGUGGGAUUUCUCCGGGUACUCCGGUUUCCUCCCACAUUCCAAAAACAUGCUAGGUUAAUUAGCCACUCCAAAUUGUCCAUAGGUAUGAAUGUGAGUGUGAAUGGUUGUUUGUCUAUAUGUGCCCUGUGUUUGGCUGGCUGGCCACCAGUCCAGGGUGUACCCCGCCUCUCGCCCCAAGACAGCUGGGAUAGGCUCCAGCACCCCCCGCGCUCCUCGUGGGGAAAAGCGGUAGAAAAUGAAUGAAAGAAUCUAAUAGAGAAAAACACUUUUAAUUAAAUUCUGAUCCAGAUUUCAUUGUAAUGAUAAAAAAUGGCAUCAUAAUUUUAGGAAGUGUUUUUCCAAGUCCUCGUCUUGUGAUGUUGGGUUGUCAUCAUGGCGCCCGGUUGACGAGGGCGAAGGGAAGCGACGGCGCUCGUGUGUUUGAUAUGAUAUGAUGUUUGUGUCUUUGUGUGUGUGCGGACAGAGUGACUGAUCACAUUACCAUGAGGACGAGCUACUCUGUCAGGAGGAGGACAGAGUCUGGGCCGGGCCGAGGGACACUGGAGGCGUCCAAUGACAGCAAGCCGGCUCAGAGGUGGGGGGGGGGGGCAGAGGUGAUUGGACGUGAAGGAUCCUGACUUGAAUAUGAAAGACGUCACAGAGACCACGUUUGCAGAACACAUGAAUUCACUCUCGAUGAAGAAGUUGUACCUUAAAGACAAAAAGGAUCUUGACAAUUGUUACCAGCCUGUACAGUGUACAACAUCACCCUCUGCUGGACGAAGUAUACAAGUACAACAGUCCACUGGCGAACCAAUAACCAACAUUUUUUAAGUAAUCUGGACACAAAAAUAUUAUGAGCCACCAACGAAACAUGCAACAUCCAGAGUGAGCACAUUGAAGACUGUGUACUGCCCUCGUGUGGAAGCCCCGGCGCGGCCCUAGGAGUGAAUCUGGGCGGUGCUGGCCAGCAGCUUGUGCCAGCUGACCACACGCUUGCGAAGGUCCACCUUGUCCAGCCACACGUACGCCUCGCCGAUCAGCGUCUUCUUCAUGAACUUGCCGCCGUUGGACACCAGGAAGAGCUACAAGGGAAAAAAAGGAAGGUUAGAAAAAGUAGAAGACCACCUUGUUGAACGUCGGGGUAAGGGGCAGGGGGCGUCACCUGUAAGGAGUGCCCGGCGGGGUUCAUGCAGAAGCGGAAGGUCUCGUUGAAGGAUGGCUCGCGAUCGUGGCGACACACCCUGGUCUUCUUCUUGAUGAUCCUCUUCUGGGUGGCGAUGUUGACCACGUAGAGCUUCACGUACAGAUCUGACAAAGAAGAAGAAGAAAAAGAAGAACAAGAUGAACGAGAGCAACCUGAAGAAAAGGAAGAAGACCAAGAAGGAGGAGAACAAGAAGAAGAGGAUGAAGAACAAAAACAGCAAGAGGACCAAGAUGAAGAACAGAAGAACACAAAGAAGACAAAAAAUGUAGAAGAAUGAUGAAGGGCUGCAUGCGUGGUUAGUGCGCAGGCCUCACAGCUAGGAGACCCGGGUUCAAUUCCACCCUCGGCCCUCCUUGCUUUCCUCCAGGUACAAGUCCAAAAACAUGCUAGGUUAAUUAGCGACUCCAAAUUGUCCAUAGGUAUGAAUGUGAGUGUGAAUGGUUGUUUGUCUAUAUGUGCCCUGUGAUUGGCUGGCUGGCCACCAGUCCAGGGUGUAGACAGCUGGGAUAGGCUCCAGCAUGAGGAUAAGCGGUAGAAAAUGAAUGAAUGAUGAAAUAAUUCCAACUGUGAGCAUGUGUAGUACAAUAGAGUAGUGUCCUACAUGUACUGUACAUGUAUAGUAUACAGUACAUGUAGAGUAUGUGUAAGUAGGAGCACGUCUGAAAUACCAGGCAGGUGGUCUGCAGUCUUGAACUUGUAGGUGAUGUUACGACACUGAAGGAUCUCCAGGACCAGGUGGUCUCCCUCCGUCCUCACCUCCUUCUUCAGGGCAAUCUUGAUCUCACCCAUCACCUGGGACUUACCUGGACACACACACACAGGUAUACACACAUACACAGUACAUUAUAUUCAUCUCAUCUCCUAUCCCAUACGGUAGUACACAUACACUGUAUAUUAUAUUAUAUACAGUAGUAUACAUACAUACAGUAUAUUAUAUUAUAUUCAAGAAUCACAAUGACUUAUUCAGUCCAUGUAUUUAGCAGUAUUACAGUACCAGUACUGUAUGUCAUAACGUUAAAUCAUGCGUUUGGGUGAAUGAAUAUGUAUAUGUGAAUAUGAAUAAAGUAUGCAUAUGUGAAUAUGAAUACUAUAUGUAUUUAUGUGAAUCUGAAUAUAGUAUGUGUAUGUGAAUAUGAAUAUUCAUAUUCACGUACGCAUAUAGUAUAGUAUGCAUAUGUGAAUAUGAAUAUGGUAUGUGAAUAUGCAUACUAUAUGUAUACGUGAAUAUGAAUAUAGUAUGCGUAUGUGAAUAUGAAUAUGGUAUGCAUACAUGAAUAUGAAUAUAGUAUGUGAAUAUGGAUACUAUAUGUAUUUAUGUGAAUCUGAAUAUAGUAUGUGUAUGUGAAUAUGAAUAUUCAUAUUCACGUACGCAUAUAGUAUAGUAUGCAUAUGUGAAUAUGAAUAUGGUAUGUGAAUAUGCAUACUAUAUGUAUACGUGAAUAUGAAUAUAGUAUGCGUAUGUGAAUAUGAAUAUGGUAUGCAUACAUGAAUAUGAAUAUAGUAUGUGAAUAUGGAUACUAUAUGUAUACGUGAAUAUGAAUAUAGUAUGCGUAUGUGAAUAUGAAUACUAUAUGUAUACGUGAAUAUGAGUAUAGUAUGUGUAUGUGAAUAUGAAUAUAGUAUGCGUAUGUGAAUAUGAAUACUAUAUGUAUACGUGAAUAUGAAUAUAGUAUGUGUAUGUGAAUAUAGUAUG
Molecule: non-coding RNA, 4019 nt
Organism: Doryrhamphus excisus (bluestripe pipefish)
Lineage: Eukaryota; Metazoa; Chordata; Actinopteri; Syngnathiformes; Syngnathidae
Source: RefSeq, a predicted model, not a curated record